This is a long non-coding RNA of Carassius auratus (goldfish), 437 nucleotides long. RefSeq lists it as uncharacterized. NCBI's taxonomy places the organism in Eukaryota, Metazoa, Chordata, Actinopteri, Cypriniformes, Cyprinidae. The transcript is spliced from 3 exons. The record is from RefSeq and is a predicted model, not a curated record.
GAAAAACUGGGGAAGGUUUCAGGAAAAGAGCUCUUCAGAGACGCCCAGAUUAUGGUUUAUCCAGUGAUGGGUUUCCCAGAUGUUUCUGUUGCACAAGCGUCUGAGCGUUUAAUAAGAGACCAUCAGGUGAAAUAUACCAAGAACUCCCGCAUAAUACAACAGAGGCAGACGAUCGAGCUCAUUACCAUAACGAGAGUGAACUACACGUGGAAAGAGAAGCCUUAUGUUUAUUAUGUGUAUGGAAAUGAGUUGAAAGUGAACGCUGAUGACUAUCCUGACACCUGCUGCUGUUCUGUGAUGUGAUUCUGCAUGUUCAUUUAGGACUGUGCAUGCAAACAUCCAAACUGUACAUCCCACAUUUCUAACCUGACACGCCUAACAAAACCUGUGAGCGAUGACUAUUAUUUAGUAUUUAAAAAUUGUUCUAGGCAAACCUA